This is a non-coding RNA of Clostridium colicanis DSM 13634, 130 nucleotides long. The record is from Rfam. Lineage: Bacteria; Bacillati; Bacillota; Clostridia; Eubacteriales; Clostridiaceae.
GAAAUCUUUAAUGCAGUCCAGAGAGACUGGCAAGAUUUGUAGUAUAUAUUUACAUAGUAUUAAAAUAUAACUAUGUAGUUUUUGUAAAGAUAACUAUACUUCUUGCCAGCUCGGCAAGAAGUUUUUUAUA